Molecule: ribosomal RNA, 452 nt
Filed under: Bacillus sp. R-11604
Lineage: Bacteria; Bacillati; Bacillota; Bacilli; Caryophanales; Bacillaceae
Description: bacterial SSU rRNA
Rfam family: Bacterial small subunit ribosomal RNA
Source: RNAcentral
GACGAACGCUGGCGGCGUGCCUAAUACAUGCAAGUCGAGCGGACCGACGGGAGCUUGCUCCCUUAGGUCAGCGGCGGACGGGUGAGUAACACGUGGGUAACCUGCCUGUAAGACUGGGAUAACUCCGGGAAACCGGGGCUAAUACCGGAUGCUUGAUUGAMCCGCAUGGUUCAAUCAUAAAAGGUGGCUUUYAGCUACCACUUACAGAUGGACCCGCGGCGCAUUAGCUAGUUGGUGAGGUAACGGCUCACCAAGGCGACGAUGCGUAGCCGACCUGAGAGGGUGAUCGGCCACACUGGGACUGAGACACGGCCCAGACUCCUACGGGAGGCAGCAGUAGGGAAUCUUCCGCAAUGGACGAAAGUCUGACGGAGCAACGCCGCGUGAGUGAUGAAGGUUUUCGGAUCGUAAAACUCUGUUGUUAGGGAAGAACAAGUACCGUUCGAAUAGGG